Molecule: ribosomal RNA, 810 nt
Filed under: Acinetobacter venetianus
Lineage: Bacteria; Pseudomonadati; Pseudomonadota; Gammaproteobacteria; Moraxellales; Moraxellaceae
Description: bacterial SSU rRNA
Rfam family: Bacterial small subunit ribosomal RNA
Source: RNAcentral
CUCAGAUUGAACGCUGGCGGCAGGCUUAACACAUGCAAGUCGAGCGGGGGAAGGUAGCUUGCUACUGGACCUAGCGGCGGACGGGUGAGUAAUGCUUAGGAAUCUGCCUAUUAGUGGGGGACAACAUUCCGAAAGGAAUGCUAAUACCGCAUACGUCCUACGGGAGAAAGCAGGGGACCUUCGGGCCUUGCGCUAAUAGAUGAGCCUAAGUCGGAUUAGCUAGUUGGUGGGGUAAAGGCCUACCAAGGCGACGAUCUGUAGCGGGUCUGAGAGGAUGAUCCGCCACACUGGGACUGAGACACGGCCCAGACUCCUACGGGAGGCAGCAGUGGGGAAUAUUGGACAAUGGGGGGAACCCUGAUCCAGCCAUGCCGCGUGUGUGAAGAAGGCCUUAUGGUUGUAAAGCACUUUAAGCGAGGAGGAGGCUACUAGUAUUAAUACUACUGGAUAGUGGACGUUACUCGCAGAAUAAGCACCGGCUAACUCUGUGCCAGCAGCCGCGGUAAUACAGAGGGUGCGAGCGUUAAUCGGAUUUACUGGGCGUAAAGCGUGCGUAGGCGGCCAUUUAAGUCAAAUGUGAAAUCCCCGAGCUUAACUUGGGAAUUGCAUUCGAUACUGGAUGGCUAGAGUAUGGGAGAGGAUGGUAGAAUUCCAGGUGUAGCGGUGAAAUGCGUAGAGAUCUGGAGGAAUACCGAUGGCGAAGGCAGCCAUCUGGCCUAAUACUGACGCUGAGGUACGAAAGCAUGGGGAGCAAACAGGAUUAGAUACCCUGGUAGUCCAUGCCGUAAACGAUGUCUACUAGCCGUUGGG